GCUCCAGUGGCGCAAUUGGUUAGUGCAUAGUACUGAUAAUGCUGAGGUUGUGAGUUCGAAUCUCACCUGGAGUA
This is a non-coding RNA of Otolemur garnettii (small-eared galago), 74 nucleotides long. The record is from the annotation of a RefSeq genome assembly. NCBI's taxonomy places the organism in Eukaryota, Metazoa, Chordata, Mammalia, Primates, Galagidae.